GGUGAUGUAGCUCAAUGGUAGAGCAUUUGUCUGGCAUGUGUAAGACCCUGGGUUCUACCCCAGCACUGCAA
This 71-nucleotide transfer RNA is filed under the name Urocitellus parryii (Arctic ground squirrel). RNAcentral's name for it is "Spermophilus parryii (Arctic ground squirrel) tRNA". It matches the Rfam family "tRNA". Rfam says of the family: Transfer RNA (tRNA) molecules are approximately 80 nucleotides in length. Their secondary structure includes four short double-helical elements and three loops (D, anti-codon, and T loops). The record is from Rfam by way of RNAcentral. Lineage: Eukaryota; Metazoa; Chordata; Mammalia; Rodentia; Sciuridae. RNAcentral also lists the same sequence under 2 other names.